ACUGCGGGCAGGUAAGAGUCCUU
RNAcentral lists this non-coding RNA (23 nucleotides) under Cricetulus griseus (Chinese hamster). The record is from RNAcentral. Lineage: Eukaryota; Metazoa; Chordata; Mammalia; Rodentia; Cricetidae.